RNAcentral lists this ribosomal RNA (346 nucleotides) under uncultured bacterium. RNAcentral's name for it is "partial 16S ribosomal RNA". It matches the Rfam family "Bacterial small subunit ribosomal RNA", at positions 338 to 682 of the family's 1533-position model. The record is from RNAcentral.
CCUACGGGAGGCAGCAGUGAGGAAUAUUGGUCAAUGGUCGAGAGGCUGAACCAGCCAAGUCGCGUGAGGGAAGACGGCCCUACGGGUUGUAAACCUCUUUUGUCGGGGAGCAAAGCGAGUCACGUGUGACGCAUUGAGAGUACCCGAAGAAAAAGCAGCGGCUAACUCCGUGCCAGCAGCCGCGGUAAUACGGAGGAUGCGAGCGUGAUCCGGAUUUAUUGGGUUUAAAGGGUGCGCAGGCGGAGGUGCAAGUCAGCGGUCAAAUUGCGGGGCUCAACCCCGUCCUGCCGUUGAAACUGCUUCCCUUGAGUGCGCGAGAAGUAUGCGGAAUGCGUGGUGUAGCGGU